CCUACGGGUGGCAGCAGUGAGGAAUAUUGGUCAAUGGACGAGAGUCUGAACCAGCCAAGUAGCGUGAAGGAUGACUGCCCUAUGGGUUGUAAACUUCUUUUAUAUGGGAAUAAAAUGUUCCACGUGUGGGUUUUUGUAUGUACCAUAUGAAUAAGGAUCGGCUAACUCCGUGCCAGCAGCCGCGGUAAUACGGAGGAUCCGAGCGUUAUCCGGAUUUAUUGGGUUUAAAGGGAGCGUAGGUGGAUUGUUAAGUCAGUUGUGAAAGUUUGCGGCUCAACCGUAAAAUUGCAGUUGAUACUGGCAGUCUUGAGUACAGUAGAGGUGGGCGGAAUUCGUGGUGUAGCGGUGAAAUGCUUAGAUAUCACGAAGAACUCCGAUUGCGAAGGCAGCUCACUGGACUGCAACUGACACUGAUGCUCGAAAGUGUGGGUAUCAAACAGGAUUAGAUACCCGAGUAGUC
RNAcentral lists this ribosomal RNA (460 nucleotides) under uncultured bacterium. Its description in RNAcentral is "partial 16S ribosomal RNA". It matches the Rfam family "Bacterial small subunit ribosomal RNA", at positions 338 to 795 of the family's 1533-position model. The record is from RNAcentral.